Molecule: ribosomal RNA, 254 nt
Filed under: uncultured bacterium
Lineage: Bacteria
Description: partial 16S ribosomal RNA
Rfam family: Bacterial small subunit ribosomal RNA
Source: RNAcentral
UACAGAGGGUGCAAGCGUUAAUCGGAUUUACUGGGCGUAAAGGGCGCGUAGGCGGCCACCGCAAGUCGGUUGUGAAAUCUCCGGGCUUAACCCGGAAAGGUCAACCGAUACUGCGGGGCUAGAGUGCAGAAGGGGCAACUGGAAUUCUCGGUGUAGCGGUGAAAUGCGUAGAUAUCGAGAGGAACACCUGCGGCGAAGGCGGGUUGCUGGGCUGACACUGACGCUGAGGCGCGAAAGCUAGGGGAGCGAACGGG